Molecule: ribosomal RNA, 496 nt
Filed under: uncultured bacterium
Lineage: Bacteria
Description: partial 16S ribosomal RNA
Rfam family: Bacterial small subunit ribosomal RNA
Source: RNAcentral
AUUGAACGCUGGCGGAAUGCUUUACACAUGCAAGUCGAACGGUAGAGGGGGCAACCCCUCGAGAGUGGCGAACGGGCGAGUAAUAUAUCGGAACGUGCCCAGUCGUGGGGGAUAACGUAGCGAAAGUUACGCUAAUACCGCAUACGAUUUAAGGAAGAAAGCGGGGGAUCGCAAGACCUAGCGCGAUUGGAGCGGCCGAUAUCAGAUUAGGUAGUAGGUGGGGUAAAGGCUCACCAAGCCAACGAUCUGUAGCUGGUCUGAGAGGACGACCAGCCACACUGGAACUGAGACACGGUCCAGACUCCUACGGGAGGCAGCAGUGGGGAAUUUUGGACAAUGGACGCAAGUCUGAUCCAGCCAUUCCGCGUGCAGGAUGAAGGCCCUCGGGUUGUAAACUGCUUUUGUACGGAACGAAAAGGUCUCUCUUAAUACGGGGGGCUCAUGACGGUACCGUAAGAAUAAGCACCGGCUAACUACGUGCCAGCAGCCGCCGUAA